UCGGGGGAAAAUUUAUUGCUAUUAGAUGAGCCUAUAUUAGAUUAGCUAGUUGGUGGAGUAAUAGCCUACCAAGGCAAUGAUCUAUAGCUGAUCUGAGAGGAUGAUCAGCCACACUGGAACUGAGAUACGGUCCAGACUCCUACGGGAGGCAGCAGUGGGGAAUAUUGGACAAUGGGCGAAAGCCUGAUCCAGCUAUGCCGCAUGAGUGAAGAAGGCCUUUGGGUUGUAAAGCUCUUUUAGUGAGGAAGAUAAUGACGGUACUCACAGAAGAAGUCCUGGCUAACUCCGUGCCAGCAGCCGCGGUAAUACGGAGAGGGCUAGCGUUAUUCGGAAUUAUUGGGCGUAAAGGGCGCGUAGGCUGAUUAAUAAGUUAAAAGUGAAAUCCCGAGGCUUAACCUUGGAAUUGCUUUUAAAACUAUUAAUCUAGAGAUUGAAAGAGGAUAGAGGAAUUCCUGAUGUAGAGGUAAAAUUCGUAAAUAUUAGGAGGAACACCAGUGGCGAAGGCGUCUAUCUGGUUCAAAUCUGACGCUGAGGCGCGAAGGCGUGGGGAGCAAACAGGAUUAGAUACCC
RNAcentral lists this ribosomal RNA (570 nucleotides) under Wolbachia endosymbiont of Bemisia tabaci. RNAcentral describes it as "bacterial SSU rRNA". It matches the Rfam family "Bacterial small subunit ribosomal RNA", at positions 197 to 787 of the family's 1533-position model. Lineage: Bacteria; Pseudomonadati; Pseudomonadota; Alphaproteobacteria; Rickettsiales; Anaplasmataceae. The record is from RNAcentral.